GUCCACGCUGUAAACGAUGAGGACUAGGUGUCGGCCCAUUUUGGGUCGGUGCCGCAGGUAACCCAUUAAGUCCUCCACCUGGGGAGUACGUCCGCAAGGAUGAAACUCAAAGGAAUUGACGGGGGCCCGCACAAGCGGUGGAACAUGUGGUUUAAUUCGACGCUACGCGUAGAACCUUACCUGGGCUUGACAUGCUAGUAGUACUGAACCGAAAGGGGAAGGACUCGUCAAGUCGAGAUCUAGCACAGGUGGUGCAUGGCUGUCGU
RNAcentral lists this ribosomal RNA (266 nucleotides) under uncultured bacterium. RNAcentral's name for it is "partial 16S ribosomal RNA". It matches the Rfam family "Bacterial small subunit ribosomal RNA", at positions 793 to 1055 of the family's 1533-position model. The record is from RNAcentral.